AUUGAACGCUGGCGGCAUGCUUUACACAUGCAAGUCGAACGGUAACAGGCCGCAAGGUGCUGACGAGUGGCGAACGGGUGAGUAAUGCAUCGGAACGUGCCCAGUCGUGGGGGUAAAUUCCUCGAAGAGUUGCUUAAAACGCAAUCCGAUCUAUGGAUGAAGGCGGGGGACGUAAAGGCCUGCCCCGAUGGGAGCGGCGAUGUCAGAUUAGGUAGUUGGUGGGGUAAAGGCUCACCAAGCCAACGAUCUGUAGCUGGUCUGAGAGGACAACCAGCCACACUGGGACUGAGACACGGCCCAGACUCCUACGGGAGGCAGCAGUGGGGAAUUUUGGACAAAGGGCGCAAGCCUGAUCCAGCAAUGCCGCGUGCAGGAAGAAGGCCUUCGGGUUGUAAACUGCUUUUGUACGGAACGAAACGGCUCUGGUUAAUACCCGGGGCUAAUGACGGUACCGUAAGAAUAAGCACCGGCUAACUACGUG
This 481-nucleotide ribosomal RNA is filed under the name uncultured bacterium. RNAcentral's name for it is "partial 16S ribosomal RNA". It matches the Rfam family "Bacterial small subunit ribosomal RNA", at positions 30 to 507 of the family's 1533-position model. The record is from RNAcentral.